UACGUAGGUGGCAAGCGUUGUCCGGAAUUAUUGGGCGUAAAGCGCGCGCAGGCGGCUUUCUAAGUCCAUCUUAAAAGUGCGGGGCUUAACCCCGUGAUGGGAUGGAAACUGGGAAGCUGGAGUAUCGGAGAGGAAAGUGGAAUUCCUAGUGUAGCGGUGAAAUGCGUAGAGAUUAGGAAGAACACCGGUGGCGAAGGCAACUUUCUGGACGACAACUGACGCUGAGGCGCGAAAGCGUGGGGAGCAAACAGG
Molecule: ribosomal RNA, 252 nt
Filed under: Dialister succinatiphilus YIT 11850
Lineage: Bacteria; Bacillati; Bacillota; Negativicutes; Veillonellales; Veillonellaceae
Description: partial 16S ribosomal RNA
Rfam family: Bacterial small subunit ribosomal RNA
Source: RNAcentral